GAAGUCAGCCGGGCAAUUGCUUUUCGGUCAUUCAAUAGUUAUCGAUUAUUACAUUUCGAUAAUUAUUGAAUGGCCGGGGGGAGGAAAGUCCGGGCUCCAUAGGGCAGAGUGCCAGGUAACACCUGGGGGGCGUGAGCCCACGGCCAGUGCCACAGAAAAUAUACCGCCCGGUUAUUCAAUUGAAUAGUCAGGUAAGGGUGAAAUGGUGCGGUAAGAGCGCACCGCGCAGCAGGUAACUGUUGUGGCAGGGUAAACCCCACUCGGAGCAAGACCAAAUAGGGGAGCAAUGGCGCGGCCCGCGCUGCUCCCGGGUAGGUUGCUUGAGGUGUGUAGCGAUAUACAUCCCAGAUGAAUGAUUGCCCCAGCGCAAGCUGGACAGAACCCGGCUUACAGGCUGACUUCUUAU
This 406-nucleotide RNase P RNA is filed under the name Gammaproteobacteria bacterium. RNAcentral describes it as "RNase P RNA component class A". It matches the Rfam family "Bacterial RNase P class A". Rfam says of the family: Ribonuclease P (RNase P) is a ubiquitous endoribonuclease, found in archaea, bacteria and eukarya as well as chloroplasts and mitochondria. Lineage: Bacteria; Pseudomonadati; Pseudomonadota; Gammaproteobacteria. The record is from RNAcentral.